RNAcentral lists this ribosomal RNA (314 nucleotides) under uncultured bacterium. Its description in RNAcentral is "bacterial SSU rRNA". It matches the Rfam family "Bacterial small subunit ribosomal RNA", at positions 29 to 327 of the family's 1533-position model. The record is from RNAcentral.
AACGAACGCUGGCGGCGUGGAUUAGGCAUGCAAGUCGAACGCGAAAGAGGGGGUAACUCCUCGAGUAGAGUGGCGAACGGGUGAGUAACACGUGAGAAACCUGCCUUCAGCAGGGGGAUAACACUCCCAACGGGGUGCUAAUACCGCAUGAGACCACGGAUUCGCAUGGAUCUGGGGUCAAAGGUGGCCUCUGCUUGCAAGCUACCGGCUGAAGAUGGUCUCGCGCCCAUUGCUAGUUGGUGGGUAAUGGCCUACCAAGGCACGAUGGGUAGCUGGUCUGAGAGGAUGGGUCAGCCACACUGGGACUGAGAUAC